This 292-nucleotide ribosomal RNA is filed under the name uncultured bacterium. RNAcentral describes it as "partial 16S ribosomal RNA". It matches the Rfam family "Bacterial small subunit ribosomal RNA", at positions 505 to 796 of the family's 1533-position model. The record is from RNAcentral.
GUGUCAGCCGCCGCGGUAAUACGGAGGGUGCAAGCGUUAUCCGGAUUCACUGGGUUUAAAGGGUGCGUAGGAGGGCAGGUAAGUCAGUGGUGAAAUCUCCGAGCUUAACUCGGAAACUGCCGUUGAUACUAUCUGUCUUGAAUACCGUGGAGGUGAGCGGAAUAUGUCAUGUAGCGGUGAAAUGCUUAGAUAUGACAUAGAACACCAAUUGCGAAGGCAGCUCACUACACGAGCAUUGACUCUGAGGCACGAAAGCGUGGGGAUCAAACAGGAUUAGAAACCCCUGUAGUCC